RNAcentral lists this ribosomal RNA (460 nucleotides) under uncultured bacterium. RNAcentral describes it as "partial 16S ribosomal RNA". It matches the Rfam family "Bacterial small subunit ribosomal RNA", at positions 338 to 795 of the family's 1533-position model. The record is from RNAcentral.
CCUACGGGGGACAGCAGUGAGGAAUAUUGGUCAAUGGACGAGAGUCUGAACCAGCCAAGUAGCGUGAAGGAUGACUGCCCUAUGGGUUGUAAACUUCUUUUAUAUGGGAAUAAAACGUUCCACGUGUGGGAUUUUGUAUGUACCAUAUGAAUAAGCAUCGGCUAACUCCGUGCCAGCAGCCGCGGUAAUACGGAGGAUCCGAGCGUUAUCCGGAUUUAUUGGGUUUAAAGGGUGCGUAGGUGGAUUGUUAAGUCAGUUGUGAAAGUUUGCGGCUCAACCGUAAAAUUGCAGUUGAAACUGGCAGUCUUGAGUACAGGAGAGGUAGGCGGAAUGCGUGGUGUAGCGGUGAAAUGCUUAGAUAUCACGAAGAACUUCGAUUGCGAAGGCAGUUCACUGGACUGCAACUGACACUGAGGCACGAAAGUGUGGGUAUCAAACAGGAUUAGAUACCCGGGUAGUC